CAGUCGCCGCGGGAAUACGUAGGUGGCAAGCGUUGUCCGGAAUUAUUGGGCGUAAAGGGCUCGCAGGCGGUUUCUUAAGUCUGAUGUGAAGGCCCCCGGCUCAACCGGGGAGGGUCAUUGGAAACUGGGAAACUUGAGUGCAGAAGAGGAGAGUGGAAUUCCACGUGUAGCGGUGAAAUGCGUAGAGAUGUGGAGGAACACCAGUGGCGAAGGCGACUCUCUGGUCUGUAACUGACGCUGAGGAGCGAAAGCGUGGGGAGCGAACAGGAUUAGAUACCCCGGUAGUCCCUGUCUCUUAUAA
This 301-nucleotide ribosomal RNA is filed under the name uncultured bacterium. Its description in RNAcentral is "partial 16S ribosomal RNA". It matches the Rfam family "Bacterial small subunit ribosomal RNA", at positions 509 to 809 of the family's 1533-position model. The record is from RNAcentral.